This 361-nucleotide ribosomal RNA is filed under the name uncultured bacterium. RNAcentral describes it as "bacterial SSU rRNA". It matches the Rfam family "Bacterial small subunit ribosomal RNA", at positions 362 to 751 of the family's 1533-position model. The record is from RNAcentral.
UAUUGGACAAUGGGCGCAAGCCUGAUCCAGCAAUGCCGCGUGAGUGGUGAAGGCCUUAGGGUCGUAAAGCUCUUUUACCAGGGAUGAUAAUGACAGUACCCGGAGAAUAAGCUCCGGCUAACUCCGUGCCAGCAGCCGCGGUAAUACGGAGGGAGCUAGCGUUGUUCGGAAUUACUGGGCGUAAAGCGUACGUAGGCGGUUAUCCAAGUCAGAGGUGAAAGCCCGGGGCUCAACCCCGGAACUGCCUUUAAACUAGGUAGCUAGAAUCUUGAGAGGUCAGUGAAUUCCGAGUGAGAGGUAAAUUCGAAAUUCGAAGACACCAGUGGCGAGGCGCUGCUGGCAGGUUAGCGUGGUCAAAUAG